GUGAGGAAUAUUGGACAAUGGGCGGGAGCCUGAACCAGCCAAGUCGCGUGAAGGAAGAAGGAUCUAUGGUUCGUAAACUUCUUUUGCAGGGGAAUAAAGUGCAGGACGUGUCCUGUUUUGUAUGUACCCUGAGAAUAAGGAUCGGCUAACUCCGUGCCAGCAGCCGCGGUAAUACGGAGGAUCCGAGCGUUAUCCGGAUUUAUUUGUUUUAAAUGGUGCGUAGGUGGUUUGAUAAGUCAGCGGUGAAAGUUUGCAGCUUAACUGUAAAAAUGCCGUUGAAACUGUCGGACUUGAGUGUAAAUGAGGUAGGAGGAAUGCGUGGUGUAGCGGUGAAAUGCAUAGAUAUCACGCAGAACUCCGAUUGCGAAGGCAGCUUACUAAGCUACAACUGACACUGAAGCACGAAAGCGUGGGGAUCAAACAGGAUUAGAUACCCUUGUAGUCC
Molecule: ribosomal RNA, 445 nt
Filed under: uncultured bacterium
Lineage: Bacteria
Description: partial 16S ribosomal RNA
Rfam family: Bacterial small subunit ribosomal RNA
Source: RNAcentral